This is a long non-coding RNA of Bufo gargarizans (Asiatic toad), 3770 nucleotides long. RefSeq lists it as uncharacterized. NCBI's taxonomy places the organism in Eukaryota, Metazoa, Chordata, Amphibia, Anura, Bufonidae. The record is from RefSeq and is a predicted model, not a curated record. The transcript is spliced from 2 exons.
UACAUAGCAUCAUAAAUCAAUAUAAUGCUAUGUGACCCCGGCAGUGCUGGGAGGUCAGGACCGGAGCGUGACAAACGCUCGUCUGCAAGGGGCUGUAUUGUUAAAGCAACCCUCCAGGUCAAGAAAUAAAAUUCACAUUAACCAAGGAACAAACAGAACACUUACAUGAUGACCUUCUUGGUCCAAGAUGGCUGCACGGCUUCUACUACAUGAUCCAUGCUGUGCACUGACAGUCCAAGACACUUCCUCCUUGUCUCGCCGGCCUCUUAGAUUAGCCAGCUGUUCACACGAGAAUGCUGGCCAAUCCGAGGGCAGCGGGAAGUGUCUUGGACUACCAUAGGCACAGUGUGCAUUAGGUAGUCGGAGAAGAAGCGUGGCCAUUUUGGAAUUGGCAUAACUGCAGCUGAAAAGUUGAGAAGGGCACCAUGUAAGGGGGCAUUCACAGGGGGCACCGCUGCUGCUUCUGCCAUUAACCAGAGGGUCACUUUAAAGUCUGUUGUGCCGUUGUGUAGAAAACAGUGGGGCACAUUUAUUAAGACCAGCGUUUUAGACGUCGGUGUUAAUAAAGCCUCUUACAUUUAGACCAUUUUCUACGCCUAAAACAGGCGUAGAAAAUGGUAAAGGAGACGGGCCUGCUGUCCUGUCCCCUUCCAUGACACGCCCACCAUUUUAGACCUGGCGUGAGCGUGGAAAAGUCGCAAAUUGCGUUGCCAUCUGCAAUCUUUGCGCUGCAACCUGCCCCAGAAAUGCACUUAAUUUAAGCGUAUUUCUCUUUGAUAAAUGACCCCCACCAGUGUUUUUAUUUAUAUGCAAAUGAUGCCUUCAGUGCACCAAGGGUUGCACCCUCAGUGUCCUCUCAGAGGGGUGGGUGGCAUCAGGAUCCUCUCACCUGACCCUGUAAACCCAUGCCUGUGCCGUACAUUCAACCAUCGGCAUAUGCUCAGUAAUCCUAACCAAAACUGGAAAAAAAAUUUUUUUUUUCAAAAUCGCAGCAUUCACCACAAUUGCAAAGAGUAUACAGCAAAAUAGGAGAUUCAGCUUGCAGCACCCAGCCUACGCCCAUUUCGUGUCCUUUCUCUUAGGGCUCAUGUUCACGACCAUAUGCCCUCCGAGACAUAUGGUCCGUGAGCGGGACAUAUGUCCCGGAGCGGCAUACAUCGUGCGCACAGCAUCAUAGGUUACUAUGAUGCUGUGCGCAUCGGGCCGCCCGUGGGACAAUUGUCCCGCACUCAUAUGAUAUUAUGAGUGCGGGACAUAAAAUCUAUCCUGGUUAGAGUUAUGGCUACUACUAUGACAGGAGUAUAUUCUCUUUCUGGGGUGUUUAGCCCUCCAAACGGUCAAUCCAUCUAAAUUCUGUUAGGAACCUGUUGAGUCUUGAGGGGUUCCCCACACCUGUCGGGACCGCCUCAUCUAGAAAGCGGUCCAGAGAGGGGUCUAACAUCAUGUUUAGGUCUCCCAUACAUAUUACUUUGGCAUGUGGAUAGGCAGCCGCAAAAAUAGCCGUCGAGUGUGGGGGGGGGAGUGAACAAAGACAUAUCUGCCUUCUGAAUCAAUGACUAGUUCCUUUACCUCCCAGGGUAGUUGUUUGUGUACCAACAGGGAUACCCCUCUUGAAGAGGAGGUCUGGUAAGAGUGUGCGGCCCACUGAACCCAGGGUUUCUUUAGGACCUGAGAAGUGCUAGCAAUAAGAUGCGUCUCUUGAAGACACAAGAUUUGAGGCUAGAGUUUCUAAUAAAAGCAAACACCAUAGAUCUCUUUUGCGAAGUACCUAGUCCUCUAACAUUGCACGAGAAGAUUUUUAGCUCAGCCAUGGAUUCCAGAACAAAUACAUGUUCUCUGGAGUAGCACAUAAUGAGUAGGUAUAUAUGCAUAUAACAGUGUUGUAUGGGUAACUAUAAUUAUCUGAUAAUGCAUAAUUAUCAUAAACCGUGAAAAAAAAAUAAAAAAAAAUUCUUAACUUCGCAAUUUCUGCAGUUAUAGUGUUGGGCCUGAACUGGUUUCUCAGUCCAGGGAAUUGGCCAGUAGGACCAGGAUGCCUCUGCCUAUGAUAGUGUGUGGCUACAGUAAUGAUAUCGCCAUUCAAAUAAGUGUAUGCAGGUAUUUAGGCCCUAGAUCUGUUCCUGGGUAGUGCCGAGAUCUUCUCCGUAGGGUCAGCCAUUCCGAGUCUUCUCCAUGUGAGGUGAAGAACACAGCUCUAUCGCCGUCCACCACUCUGAGUUUUGCCGGAUAACCCAUGGAGUAGGAAAUGUUGGCUUCUCUCAGGUGUCUCUUGACCUCCAUAAAAGGUGGCUCCAUGUUUCUGCAAUUCCAUGGAAAAGUCUGGAAAGAUGGACACUCUGGCGGUCAUACUUAAUUUCUUGUCAUCUUCUGGCUAGGGCCAGUAUCUUGUCUCUGUCUUUGCAGUUGAGAAACCUGGCUAGCAUAGGUCUGGGUGGGGCCCCAUGUGGGGGUGGUUUUGCAGGUACUCUAUGAGCUAUUUCCACCACAUAUGCUAAAGAGAAAUGUGCAUCUGGGAAAAGUUAUUUUAUCAAUUUUUCAAUAAACUCAUCUGAUGCCCGACCUGCUCUUUCUGGCAAACCGAUGAUUCUAAUGUUUCUGCAGAGUCUUUUCUAGGUCAUCUGCUUUUUGCUUCCAGAGCUCCGCUUUGGUGUAAAGCUCGGAGAUGGAUCUGGGAACCGAAGCGGUAGUAUCUUCUAUGUGUGAUAUGCGCUCUUCAGUGUGUUGAACUCUUUCUCGCAGGUUGUGCAAAUAUUGACGCAGUAGUCUCAGGUCAAUCAUGACUUCGUCUAAUUUCCCUGUGAGAGAGGUCUUACACGCAGUCAUAGCUUCCAAGACUUUAGCUGAUACUUGUUUAAGAGUGAGCUCUUCAUUAUCUCCUUCAGGAGGAUUUGUAGAGGCCGGAGCAUCUGAAGCGGUGCUUGCCCUGGUAUGCACAUUCCGCUGUGGUAAAGGUGACCGUGCACCGUCAUCUGGUUGUCUGGCAAAUUCUCUACAUUUUUCAGCGGCGCUUUGCGUUUUUUGCGGCCCCAUAUAUCAAGAUAAUGUGCAGGUGAAGCUGGAUCCAGUACUUUAGGUGGUGCUCUAUAUUGUCUUGUGUAGUAAGACUGUCAGAAUUGCCAGGGGAUAUUAUCCUGGAGUUGUCUUAUGCCUCUGUGACUACCCUUCAAACUGUAUAUCAGGCUAGCUAGCCCCCAGUUGUUCAUCCAGGGAUUAUACACAUAGGAUUGUGUCUACACUUAAUAGGGAGGUGGUAAACGACUUGGUGCUGCAGGAGCCUAUUAUGCUCUGUGCUCCUUCCUCUAGCCGCAGGUGAACCACCAAAAUGGCCGACUUGUGGGAAACUGAGGGGACCUUCAGGGUAUGCAGGGUUCUCUCCUACUGCUCUGAGUAUUUUGUCUCCCGCCGCCCGCUCCUCUACCUGUACACCUCACCAGGUCUGGUGUGUUCAAUUACAUCUCAGGUCUGCCGCUUGUUGUGCGCUCGCUGCUCACGUGGUCCUGCUCCCCACACAGCUCCCGAUGCAGAUCUCCCGGCGCUUUCCGCAGGAAAUGUCCGAUAAGCGACUUCUUCUGUAUUCAGUAGGGCUUAGUCAGGGGUCUUCCUUUGCCUUUUAAAUGGCCUGUUAAAACCAGGAUUUGUCCAGAAUUGUAGCUCCAGCCACGGAGCUUCACUAGCAUACGUCCAGCCAUCUUGGCUGCUGGCCACGUCCCUCCUUUUUAAGUUUUAGAAGUUCUAAAUGACAUAGCUGUGUGGUCAAAAGCUCACACGAC